Molecule: small nuclear RNA, 163 nt
Filed under: Esox lucius (northern pike)
Lineage: Eukaryota; Metazoa; Chordata; Actinopteri; Esociformes; Esocidae
Description: U1 spliceosomal RNA
Rfam family: U1 spliceosomal RNA
About the family: U1 is a small nuclear RNA (snRNA) component of the spliceosome (involved in pre-mRNA splicing). Its 5' end forms complementary base pairs with the 5' splice junction, thus defining the 5' donor site of an intron.
Source: Rfam by way of RNAcentral
AUACUUACCUGGCAAGGGAGACACCGUGAUCACCAAGGCGGUUCACCCAGGGCGAGGCUCGGCCAUUGCACUCCGGCUGUGCUGACCCCUGCGAUUUCCCAAAUGUGGAAAUCUCGAUUGCAUAAUUUCCUGGUAGUGGGGACUGCGUUCGCGCGCUCACCUC